This is an RNA transcript of Lycium ferocissimum, 3178 nucleotides long. It is a transcript of the gene named (E,E)-geranyllinalool synthase, with no coding region annotated. The transcript has 12 exons. Lineage: Eukaryota; Viridiplantae; Streptophyta; Magnoliopsida; Solanales; Solanaceae. The record is from RefSeq and is a predicted model, not a curated record.
AAUUAAUGCUUAUUAUAAAACUUUGUUAACCUGAUUACUUACAUAUUUUUUGACGUGGUCGUUUCAUAGAUUUUUUUUUUUUUUUUUUAAUAUGGAAUGUUUCAUGUCUCUCUAUAUAUAGACCUAGUUUCCUUGCAUAUUCCACCAUCAGUCUCUCAAAACAUCACUCCCAAGAAGAGCUAAAGCUAGCUAAGAUAUCACCUCUUAAUUAGCUUCUCUUUGCAAUUCUCAUGGAUUCCUCAUCAUUGUCUUCCAUUGAAUCUCUUGUCAAUGAGAUCAAGAAAGAGUUAUUGAUCUCAAACCAAGAUUUUAACAACACUUUUGUUACCCAAACAUCUGCCUAUGACACUGCUUGGUUGGCCAUGAUUCCUUAUAAUAAUCAAGAAGCCAAUGGUCCUAUGUUUGAGAGUUGUCUAAAUUGGAUUCUCAACAACCAAAAUGAGCAAGGGUUUUGGGGUGAACCCAAUGGUGAAAAUCUUCCCACCAUUUAUGCUCUCCCUACUACUCUUGCUUGCAUGAUAGCACUCAAGAAAUGGAAUGUGGGUGAAAGCCACGUAAGGAAAGGGCUGAAGUUUAUUCAUGCAAAUACGGAUGCACUUUUGAAGGAGAAUUCUCAACGUUUCCCACUUUGGUUUACCAUUGUUUUUCCUUCAAUGCUUCAACUUGCAAAAGCACAAGGCCUCGAUACUAUUCUUGUUAAUGGAUCAAACGGAUUGUUAUCUGACGUCUUCAUGAAGAAGAAAGCAAUUCUUGAGAGUGAAAAACUCAAUGGUCUGAGAGCAGGGCAAGAUCAACCCAUUUUGACAUAUUUGGAGAGCUUAUCACACAGUGAUAAUUGUAUUGUUAAUGAAGAAAUUGAAGUCCUCAAACACUUAUGUGAAGAAGAUGGUUCUUUGUUCCAAUCUCCCUCUGCCAUAGCACAAGCAUUCAUGGCUACUGGAAGUACAAAAUGCCUUGAGUAUCUCAUGUCCAUUGUUCAGAAGUGUCCCAAUGGAGUGCCUUCAAGAUUUCCAGUGGAUGAAGAGCUAGAAAUGCUUUGCAUGGUUGAUAACAUACAAAGAAUGGGAGUAGCUCUGCACUUUGAGAAAGAGAUUCAACAAAUUCUUGACCAAGUUUACAAGAAUUAUCAAACGAACUUGCAAACUAAUGAGUACGUAUCACCAGAAACAAGUGAUUUGCCUGAGAGAUUAUUCAAGGAUUCAUUGGCUUUUAGGCUUCUCAGAUUGCAAGGCUACAAAAUAAAUCAAGGGAGUUUUUGUUGGUUUCUUAAUCAACCGCACACAAGGGCCUACAUGGAAAAGAACCAAGAACAGUUUGCAUAUGUGAUGUACAAUGUGUACAGAGCCACAGAUCUAAUGUUCAAUGGAGAAUCUGAAAUGGAAGAAGCAAGAUCUUUCUCCAGAAAUUUUCUUGUAAACAAUGACAAUUUAUCAGUACCUCCAGCACUUCAAAAAUUGAUUGAACAUGAGUUGAAUGUUCCAUGGUUUGCUCGACUUGAACACCUUGACCACAGAUUGUGGAUUGAAUUAAAUCAAUCUCUCCGUCACACAAUUGGAAAAUCCCCAUAUUAUUGGUUGUCUUAUCUGCAAAAUGACAAGUUAAUGCAGCUAGCCGUGCAAAAUUAUGAAUAUCGGCAGUCAAUUUACAGGAAGGAAUUGGAAGACCUAAAGAGCUGGUCGAAAGAGAAGGGCCUUGUAGGCAUUGGAUUUGGGAGAGAAAAAACUACUUAUUCUUAUUUUGCAAGUGCAGCAAGCAGCAGUAGUUUUCUACCUUAUGAAUCUUUUCUUCGAUUAGUUGUUGCAAAAUGUUCCAUAGUUAUUACUGUAGCUGAUGAUUUUUAUGAUGAGGAAGCCUCUUUAAGUGAACUCCAAAUAUUAACUGAGGCAAUACAAAGGUGGGAUGCAAAGACCCUUGAUGGCCCAAGUAAGAUCAUAUUUGAAGCUCUUGAUGAUCUUGUGUGCGAUGUUGCCAAAAUGUACCACCUUCAACACAAAAUUGACAUCACCCCACAACUACAACACAUGUGGAAGGAGACAUUUCAUUCAUGGAUGAUGGAAAGCAUGUGGAGUCGAACUUCAAAUUUGCCAUCUAUGGAUGAAUAUCUAAAAGUUGGGAUGAUAUCAAUUGGUGCACAUAUUUUGGUCCUUCAUGCAGCUUCCCUUGCAUGUCCAACAGUGCCAAGUGAAAAGCUUGGGCCAAUUAAUGGACACUAUGAAAAUAUUACAAAGUUGCUCAUGGCCACCACGCGUUUUUUGAAUGACAUCCAAAGCUAUCAAAAAGAAAGAGAAGUAGGGAAGAUGAACUACACAUUACUUCACUUGAAUGAAAACCCUGAGGGACACAUUGAAGAUUCAAUUGAUUUUAUAAAAAAGAUCUUGGGAGACAAGAAGAAAGAGUUUCUUGAAAAUGUCCUAAUGGAUAGGUCCAAUGACAUGCCAAGGACAAUGAAGCUCCUUCACCUUUCUUGCCUAAAUGUGUUCCACAUGUUCUUCAAUUCUUGCAAUUUGUUUGAUACACAAACAGCAAUACUUGAAGACAUAAUGAAAGCUAUUUACAUUCCUCUUCAGCAAGAACAACAAACUCCUAUGCCACCACCUUCAAAGCCUUUGCCACCAAUGUUACCACCUCAAGAAAAGAAGAUUGAGAUUGCCAAAUUCAAUGCAUGUCUCAAUGGAAAAAACUUCAAACAACAAGUUGGUAAUAUUGGCAUUGGCAUAAGCUUUGUUGGAAGGCAAGCUCCUAAGAAUUAUAAUUCUUUUGGUUGGUUUACAAAAGGGUUUGCUUCUCAAAAGUUAAGAUCGUGCUUCCUGUGAUUGUCAGAAACAUCUUGAAACCGUUGUUGAUUAUUGUUGUUAUUGUUGUAUAAUAUGUAAUAUUAUUUCCAACAAUAUGAAUGUACGGGAGUCCGACAUUGUAAAUUGAUUGUAAAAGUAACUCUUGCUAGGAUUGGGAAUCACUCUUUUAAUAUUGAAAUUGUAAUAAUAAGAUAUAUCAUGUUUCAAGCAUUCUUUAGCAUUCUACUUUUCUUCUUUACCUUAUACUAUCAAAUUUAUAAGGCAUUGGCAUACAUUUUGCUGAAAGGCAAUCUCCUAAGAAUUAUAAUAAUCCUCUUGGUUGGUCUGCAAAAGGGUUUGCUUCACAAAAGCUAAGGUCACGUUUACUGUGAUCGUCAGAAACA